CGUAUUCAUACGGGACUUCACCACAGAAUUUUUGGCGGGAAAAUUUGUAAAGACUGAAAUGUUUGGAGAAGACAAGAUGGCGCAGGUUACUUCGAAUCAUCAAAGGGCAUUUUUGUUCAUAAAUACCCGCUUAUUUUACGUUAUAACGACUGGUUAGUUUUGGAAAUUAUAACUCAAUGGACAGGGAAACGAUUUUGUAGUAAAGAGAAAAAAGUACGUGCAGUUAUUGACUUAUAAUUUGUUGUGAAAGACGGC
Molecule: non-coding RNA, 255 nt
Organism: Paramuricea clavata
Lineage: Eukaryota; Metazoa; Cnidaria; Anthozoa; Malacalcyonacea; Plexauridae
Source: the annotation of a GenBank genome assembly